This 219-nucleotide unclassified non-coding RNA is filed under the name Hevea brasiliensis (rubber tree). The record is from RNAcentral. Lineage: Eukaryota; Viridiplantae; Streptophyta; Magnoliopsida; Malpighiales; Euphorbiaceae.
GGUAGUUAAUGUGAACACCAAAAUCAUAUUAAAUCUACAUGCAAUAUAUCGUGAUCCUUUCAUUUUAUAUAUUAAUAAUAAAAAAUAAUAUUAAGAAUAUUAUCGAUUUAUGGGUGUGAGGUGAGGGGGAAGAAGAAAUUGAAUUCCCAUGAUAUAAACCACAAAGAAGAAAAGCCAGGAAAGAAAUACUAGCUCACCCUUAUGUCAAGGCCUUCUAAC